GCUUCCCUCUCCUCCCCCAUUUGGAAAGUUUUCUCAGCAGAGGCCUGAGCACAUUCCUGACUUCUGGCUCAGGGAAGGACUUUCCCAACCUUCCAACAUUCCGGGCCCUCACUCACCCUGCUGACCUACCAAGAGUUCUGCUUGCUCCACCCCAAACAGCUGCAUUCCAGCUGUGGAGUUCUUAUGAAACUGCCAGGAAUCCUAGGGCUGCAAGGACUCGGUGAUACAAAUUUGGACUUCAAGGUCUGAAAGCCUGAGGCAGAAAGCUGGGCUACAGAGGGAGACCCUGUCUCAGCAAAAUGGAACCCGUCCUCUAUCUUUGUUGCCCAAGCUGAUGUCAUGUUCUAAGGGGCUGGAUUUGCUAAGCUGCAGCAAAAUGCCUUCCUGCAGAAGGACCCAGACUGCCUGCAGUGUGGGGCGGGGACCUGAGAAACAAGGCAAGGACAGGCAACUACUCUCCCUAAGAUGGAGGCUGCAUGAUGUAAGUGGCUGGCUAAAAUAUCUGGCAUGCUUGCAGUUUUAAGUUGCCAGCUAAAUAUUAUUAAAAAGAUAAAAUACACGCAAACUGUGCAGAAUGUAGGGCUGCUGUGUUUACAUCCGGGUUUUGAUGACUCAAAGCCUUACACUUGGGCUUGCUGAAAAGCUCUAUUAAAAACACAGCUUUCGAAAAGCCUCCGCGGAGCAGAAGGACUCGGGGGUGGUAGAAGGAUGGUAACCCCACCCCCACCCCAAGAUGCUGUUCAGCUCUGUGUUCCUGGCAAGCAUUUAGGGCCGGGGAAGUCUUAAGGGGUUAAACCUCCUUUCAGUUUGCAAACCAGAGCCGGGAGGGUUAACCUUUUUCCAGAACAUUUAUUUCACCAUCUCACUGAC
This is a non-coding RNA of Cricetulus griseus (Chinese hamster), 870 nucleotides long. Lineage: Eukaryota; Metazoa; Chordata; Mammalia; Rodentia; Cricetidae. The record is from RefSeq and is a predicted model, not a curated record.